RNAcentral lists this ribosomal RNA (468 nucleotides) under uncultured bacterium. RNAcentral describes it as "partial 16S ribosomal RNA". It matches the Rfam family "Bacterial small subunit ribosomal RNA", at positions 28 to 507 of the family's 1533-position model. The record is from RNAcentral.
GACGAACGCUGGCGGCGUGCUUAACACAUGCAAGUCGAACGGAAAGGCCCUGCUUUUGUGGGGUGCUCGAGUGGCGAACGGGUGAGUAACACGUGAGUAACCUGCCCUUGACUUUGGGAUAACUUCAGGAAACUGGGGCUAAUACCGGAUAGGAGCUCCUGCUGCAUGGUGGGGGUUGGAAAGUUUCGGCGGUUGGGGAUGGACUGGCGGCUUAUCAGCUUGUUGGUGGGGUAGUGGCUUACCAAGGCUUUGACGGGUAGCCGGCCUGAGAGGGUGACCGGCGACAUUGGGACUGAGAGACGGCCCAGACUCCUACGGGAGGCAGCAGUGGGGAAUAUUGCCCAAUGGGCGGAAGCCUGAUGCAGAAACGCCGCGUGCGGGAUGACGGCCUUCGGGUUGUAAACCGCUUUCGCCUGUGACGAAGCGUGAGUGACGGUAAUGGGUAAAGAAGCACCGGCUAACUACGUG